GAAUGAGGCAAGACCCUUCGAGGCGAUUGGCUCACCUGACCUUCACCUCCUCGUGCACGACCCUGACAGUAGGGUCCCCAAGGGCUUUGGAACUGCGGGAUUGGGACACGUGACUUCCUUGGUCAUUCACCUUGAAGUGGACACGGGCUGGGAUGGAGUCUUGCUCUGUUGCCCAGGCUGGAGUGCAGUGGCACGAUCUCGGCUCACUGCAAACUCUGCCUCCUGGGUUCACGCCAUUCUCCUGCCUCAGCCUCCCAAGUAGCUGGAACUACAGAGAUGGGGUUUCAUCAUGUUGCCCAGGCUGAUCUCAAACUCCUGGGCUUGUGUCCGAAAUUGGUGAGUGCUUGGUCUCACUGACUUCAAGAAGGAAGCCGCGGACCCUCGCAGUGAGUGUUACAGCUCUUAAGGUGGUGCGUCUAGAGUUUGUUCCUUCUGAUGUUCGGAUGUGUUCGCAGUUUCUUCCUCCGGGGAGGCUCAUGGUCUCGCUGGCUUCAGGAGUGAAGCGGCAGACCUUCGCGGUGAGUGUUAUAGCUCUU
RNAcentral lists this long non-coding RNA (536 nucleotides) under Pan troglodytes (chimpanzee). RNAcentral describes it as "lincRNA". Lineage: Eukaryota; Metazoa; Chordata; Mammalia; Primates; Hominidae. The record is from RNAcentral.